GGGGAAGUAGAUCAGUUGGUUAGAUCGCCAUCUUGACAUGGUGGAGGCCAAGGGUUCGAGUCCCUUCUUCCCCACCA
RNAcentral lists this transfer RNA (77 nucleotides) under Bacillota bacterium. Its description in RNAcentral is "Firmicutes bacterium (anaerobic digester metagenome) tRNA-Val". It matches the Rfam family "tRNA". Rfam says of the family: Transfer RNA (tRNA) molecules are approximately 80 nucleotides in length. Their secondary structure includes four short double-helical elements and three loops (D, anti-codon, and T loops). Lineage: Bacteria; Bacillati; Bacillota. RNAcentral also lists the same sequence under 1 other name. The record is from RNAcentral.